UACGGAGGGUGCAAGCGUUGUCCGGAUUUAUUGGGUUUAAAGGGUGCGUAGGCGGCCCUGUAAGUCAGUGGUGAAAGCCUCCAGCUCAACUGGAGAACUGCCAUUGAUACUGCAAGGCUUGAGUACAGACGAGGUUGGCGGAAUUGAUUGUGUAGCGGUGAAAUGCAUAGAUACAAUCAAGAACUCCGAUUGCGUAGGCAGCUAACUAGGCUGUAACUGACGCUGAGGCACGAAAGCGUGGGGAGCGAACAGG
RNAcentral lists this ribosomal RNA (253 nucleotides) under uncultured bacterium. Its description in RNAcentral is "partial 16S ribosomal RNA". It matches the Rfam family "Bacterial small subunit ribosomal RNA", at positions 524 to 776 of the family's 1533-position model. The record is from RNAcentral.